Molecule: non-coding RNA, 27 nt
Filed under: Mus musculus (house mouse)
Lineage: Eukaryota; Metazoa; Chordata; Mammalia; Rodentia; Muridae
Source: RNAcentral
UAGCUUCUGAGUGAUAUCAUUGCUGGU